This is an RNA transcript of Musa acuminata AAA Group (dessert banana), 3272 nucleotides long. It is a transcript of the gene named formyltetrahydrofolate deformylase 1, mitochondrial-like, with no coding region annotated. Lineage: Eukaryota; Viridiplantae; Streptophyta; Magnoliopsida; Zingiberales; Musaceae. The record is from RefSeq and is a predicted model, not a curated record. The transcript is spliced from 14 exons.
AAAAAUAAGUGGGCAUGGUGGUCUUGCAUCGGAUUGCGAAGAGAGCGGUCUCCAUGAUCCCCGGCGGCAACGCCGGCUCCGUUCUCGGCAUCCACGUCUUCCACUGCCCGGACGCGGUGGGGAUCGUCGCCAAACUCUCGGAGUGCAUUGCGUCGAGGGGCGGAAACAUACACAGCGUGGAUGUCUUUGUCCCCGAGAAGAAGCAGGUCUUUUACUCGAGGAGUGAGUUUGUAUUCGAUCCUGCUCGUUGGCCUCGGGAUGUCGUGGACAAUGACUUCAACAAAAUAUCAAAGUUAUUCAGUGCAGAAAAAUCUGUUGUACGCGUCCCUGAUCUAGACCCUAAAUUUAAGAUUGCAGUUCUUGCUUCAAAGCAGGAACAUUGUUUGGUGGACUUGUUAUAUAGAUGGCAGGAGGGUAGACUUCCCGUGGACAUCAGUUGUGUUAUAAGCAAUCAUCAAAGAGCUCCUAAUACACAUGUUGCUCUCUUUCUUGAACGACAUGGGAUUCCAUAUCAUCACUUGCCAACAAGUGCUGGAAAUACAAGAGAAGCAGAGAUCCUGGAAUUGGUUGAAGAUACUGAUUUUCUUGUACUUGCAAGAUACAUGCAGGUACUAUCUAGAAGGUUUCUGGAGAGCUAUGGUAAAGAUAUAAUUAACAUUCAUCAUGGCCUUCUUCCAUCAUUUAAAGGAGGGAAUCCUUCGAAACAGGCUUUUGAUGCUGGGGUAAAAUUGAUUGGUGCAACAAGUCAUUUUGUAACUGAAGAACUGGAUGCUGGUCCAAUUAUUGAACAAAUGGUAGAGAGAGUUUCUCACAGAGACACCUUAAAAAGUUUUGUGCAGAAAUCAGAGAAUCUCGAAAAGCAAUGUCUCACACAAGUGAUAAAAUCGUAUUGUGAACUUCGAGUGCUACCAUAUCAAGUAAACAAGACUGUUGUCUUCUGACAAGCUUCCUUAAACUUCAUACUUAGAUCCCGAGGCUGAGAAGUUGUUACUAUGUUCAACUACAGCAAUACUUCAUCAUGCAUGGUAACACCAACUCCAUCUCUCUCUUCUUUGAUACACUUAAAUGUAUUUUGUGAAAGAACAAAGUAGACACCAAUUUCUUUUCUCAAAGAAUCAUGAAAUGUCAAAAUGCUUUCUAAAUUCCUUUUUUAACCAGUGCUUGAGAUCAAUUUACUGACAUUCAUAUUGCCCACUCCAGUAGUAAUGAUGAUAUUAUUAUUGUCCCUCUUUAUUGUUGCCCUAUUUAGUCCUUCAACCAGUCAAGAUUCAGAUCAGGUAUUCUUCAUUACUUGAGAUGCAGGUUUCAGAUAUUCCUCACAAGGAUAAAAGAGUGCAACUAAAAAUUUACAGAUGUAUUAUUAAUCUGCAAUCUGAAACUGCAGUGGAGCAUACAUCCUCCUGAUAUUUAGGUAAAAGCAAUGCAUAUCAAUCCUCUUACCAGUGCUAUAUCUUAAUUAGGAGGCAUAUAUCUAAGCGGCUCUGCAAUAACUAUUACAGAGAUCAAGUAGUUAUGUGAUCCACUUAUAAAGGUAUUAUAUACCAUCUUAAUCUGAAAUCUUAAGACUUGUAAGUAGAGAUGCAGCUUCCGAUAAACCUUUUCUGCGAGAAAGUGGAUCGAUUUUGUGGGAUGCUGUGUGUCUAUGUGAUCUGCUUAAACUGGAUUAGGCUGUGAGUAUGGGUAGAAUAAUGAGUAUUUUAAGGUAGAUUGAGUUUAGAUUGUAUUUAGAUAGCUUGUCGGGUUAAAGAACUGAUACGAUCAAUUACGUUUCCUCGAGACGGUUUCCCACGAAGCAAAGCGGACGUCUGUUAGAGAGAGAAAGGACUGUGCUUCUAACACCUCACUCAGUCCAUGGAAGAAAGAGAGAAAGAUAGAGAAGAAGAAGAAGAGACAGGUAAAGAGAACAUCGACCGAUGCGAUCGCUUGCACUUCCUGCUGUCAUUAAUUCCUCCAACGACCUCUUGUCCUCUUCCUCCAGCAUUCAGUCCUCACGGCAAUUCAGCCGUAAUUACUCUCUCUUUCUCUCCCUGGCCGAAGGAGAAGCUAAACGAGGACCAAAGGGAAGGUCUCCGUGAGGACGCGUAGAAUGAAUCAGAGCGUCAGCUUCUCCUGCUUCUGUUUCUGGUCUUGAGAGUUUCUCUUCAAAUGCACGAGGAAGAAGGAGAGUAGGAAUGGGUGGAGAAGCUGUGCCCAUGGAGGUGACGAAUGCAGGGCGCGUGGAUUCUGUCUCUAAGGUGUCAUAUACUCGUGUUUCGCAUCUUGGGCGUUCUAAAAGUGCCUCUGAUAGAUACUUGGAGUUGACCAAAUCCAGACCAAGUGUAAGGGUUCACAUAAUCUUUUGAAUAUACUGAAGUCUCAUGGAAGCCAAAGUUCUUAUAAUCAAGAUUCAAGUGAGAGUGCCAGACAAACCACAUUAAACAGUCGAUAUUCCUUGGAAGAUGAUAUUAAACAACUUCAGAUGCAUUUGCAUCAAGAAAACUCGUUUUCUGCUGGAGAAGGCGAUUGGUUGAGCUUCCAGUACUUUUAUCUCCUGGGCAUAGACAUUUUUCUGCUCAGAUAUAAGCUAAAUUUCUCCAUUGAUAUAAUAGUAUCUCUCAUGGUUCAUCGAACCACGGCAUACCGCUCGGUAUGGGCGGUACAUACCAGUCACCGAUAUGUAUGUCGAUAUACUCGAUAUGAUUCGGCAUAACUCGAUACAUACCAUACCAACAGCUAGUCGCUACAUUGGUACAAAUCGAUAAGGUGAGAACAUACACUAGAAAAGAAUGCCAUGGAGGAGCUGCAGAAGGCAAAGAGAGGAAUUCCUUCAAACCCAUGUACCGGUGAAGAAAUCAAGCAGAGUUUUUCUACCAAAGGUUCUUGAUAGAGAUGCAAGAGAAGCCUGUGUCAGGCUGGGACAAUCUUCUCAUAUGGGUGUCUAGAAACAUGGACAAGAAGCUGCCGGAGGUGAUCCACAAAUGUAUAAAUCCAAACAACAAGAGGAAGGCCUCACAGGUCAUUGAAUGGUUACCUUAUGAUACAAGAUUUCGCUAUGUCCUUGAAGAUGAACUGGUAGAGAAUCCUAGAUGAAUAUAAACAUCUUUUUUAUGACCCGUAUGAUGAUAAUACUUGCAAAAGGGCAUCAACUCUUAAAAACUACACACUGUUCCUUCGUAUUGAAAUGGAACAUUUCACUGUGAUGCUUAUUAGCUCAGUCAUUGUUUCAGCUUGUAUUACAUGUUUAGUUAACUUGACCUAUAUAUCAUUUAAAUGUAAGUUGAGUGGUGAUUUGA